RNAcentral lists this ribosomal RNA (467 nucleotides) under uncultured bacterium. Its description in RNAcentral is "partial 16S ribosomal RNA". It matches the Rfam family "Bacterial small subunit ribosomal RNA", at positions 29 to 507 of the family's 1533-position model. The record is from RNAcentral.
ACGAACGCUGGCGGCGUGCUUAACCCCUGCCAGUCGGACGGAAAGGCCCUGCUUUUGUGGGGUGCUCGAGUGGCGAACGGGUGAGUAACACGUGAGUAACCUGCCCUUGACUUUGGGAUAACUUCAGGAAACUGGGGCUAAUACCGGAUAGGAGCUCCUGCUGCUUGGUGGGGGUUGGAAAGUUUCGGCGGUUGGGGAUGGACUCGCGGCUUAUCAGCUUGUUGGUGGGGUAGUGGCUUACCAAGGCUUUGACGGGUAGCCGGCCUGAGAGGGUGACCGGCCACAUUGGGACUGAGAUACGGCCCAGACUCCUACGGGAGGCAGCAGUGGGGAAUAUUGCACAAUGGGCGGAAGCCUGAUGCAGCAACGCCGCGUGCGGGAUGACGGCCUUCGGGUUGUAAACCGCUUUCGCCUGUGACGAAGCGUGAGUGACGGUAAUGGGUAAAGAAGCACCGGCUAACUACGUG